Molecule: ribosomal RNA, 623 nt
Filed under: Kodamaea ohmeri
Lineage: Eukaryota; Fungi; Ascomycota; Pichiomycetes; Serinales; Debaryomycetaceae
Description: eukaryotic LSU rRNA
Rfam family: Eukaryotic large subunit ribosomal RNA
Source: RNAcentral
CCCGCUGAACUUAAGCAUAUCAAUAAGCGGAGGAAAAGAAACCAACAGGGAUUGCCUCAGUAACGGCGAGUGAAGCGGCAAAAGCUCAAAUUUGAAAUCCCCCCGGGGAGUUGUAAUUUGAAGAUUGCGUCUUGGAGGCGACCGUGUCUAUGUUCCUUGGAACAGGACGUCACAGAGGGUGAGAAUCCCGUGCGGCACGGCCCCCGGCUCCUUAUAAGGCGCUCUCGACGAGUCGAGUUGUUUGGGAAUGCAGCUCAAAGUGGGUGGUAAAUUCCAUCUAAAGCUAAAUACAGGCGAGAGACCGAUAGCGAACAAGUACAGUGAUGGAAAGAUGAAAAGCACUUUGAAAAGAGAGUGAAACAGCACGUGAAAUUGUUGAAAGGGAAGGGCAUGCCGUCAGAUUGUCAGUGUGGGUAAGAAGCGGGGUACAAAGACUGUGGAACGUGGCCCUCGGGUGUUAUAGCCGCAGUUCAUGCCCCGUCUCUUUCCGAGGCCUGCUUUGAGGACACCGACGUAAUGACGGUACGCCGCCCGUCUUGAAACACGGACCAAGGAGUCUAACGUCUAUGCGAGUGUGUGGGUGUCAAACCCAAACGCGUAAUGAAAGUGAACAGAUGAGUUUC